GACGAACGCUGGCGGCGUGCCUAACACAUGCAAGUCGAGCGGAGUCGAUCGACGGAAGCCUUCGGGCGGAAGAUGGUUGACUUAGCGGCGGAUGGGUGAGUAACGCGUGGGCAACCUGCCUCGAAGACCGGGAUAACAGCCCGAAAGGGCUGCUAAUACCGGAUGUGGUCAAGGAUCCGCAUGGAUUUUUGAUUAAAGGGGAAACCCGUUUCGAGAUGGGCCCGCGUCCUAUCAGCUAGUUGGUGAGGUAAAAGCUCACCAAGGCGACGACGGGUAGCCGGCCUGAGAGGGUGACCGGCCACACUGGAACUGAGACACGGUCCAGACUCCUACGGGGGCAGCAGUGGGGAAUCUUCCACAAUGGGCGAAAGCCUGAUGGAGCGACGCCGCGUGAGCGAAGAAGGCCUUCGGGUUGUAAAGCUCUGUCUGGAGGGACGAAGGAAGUGACGGUACCUCCGGAGGAAGCCACGGCUAACUAACGUG
Molecule: ribosomal RNA, 483 nt
Filed under: uncultured bacterium
Lineage: Bacteria
Description: bacterial SSU rRNA
Rfam family: Bacterial small subunit ribosomal RNA
Source: RNAcentral